Molecule: ribosomal RNA, 492 nt
Filed under: uncultured bacterium
Lineage: Bacteria
Description: partial 16S ribosomal RNA
Rfam family: Bacterial small subunit ribosomal RNA
Source: RNAcentral
AGUGAACGCUGGCGGUAGGCCUAACACAUGCAAGUCGAACGGCAGCACAGUAAGAGCUUGCUCUUACGGGUGGCGAGUGGCGGACGGGUGAGGAAUACAUCGGAAUCUACUUUUUCGUGGGGGAUAACGUAGGGAAACUUACGCUAAUACCGCAUACGACCUACGGGUGAAAGCAGGGGAUCUUCGGACCUUGCGCGAUUGAAUGAGCCGAUGUCGGAUUAGCUAGUUGGCGGGGUAAAGGCCCACCAAGGCGACGAUCCGUAGCUGGUCUGAGAGGAUGAUCCGCCCCACUGGAACUUGGGCACCGUUCCGGCCUCUUCGGGAGGCAGCAGGUGGGAAUUAUGGACAAGUGGGGGAAACCUUGUUCAAGCCUUCCGGGUUGGGUAAGAAGGGCCUGCGGGUUUAAAGCCCUUUUUGUGGGGAAAAAAAGGCGCCGGUUAAAACCCCCGCUGUUUUGCCGGAACCAAAGAAUAAGCCCCCGCUUACCUUCUU